This 462-nucleotide ribosomal RNA is filed under the name uncultured bacterium. RNAcentral's name for it is "partial 16S ribosomal RNA". It matches the Rfam family "Bacterial small subunit ribosomal RNA", at positions 28 to 507 of the family's 1533-position model. The record is from RNAcentral.
GACGAACGCUGGCGGCGUGCUUAACACAUGCAAGUCGAACGGAAAGGCCCUUCGGGGUACUCGAGUGGCGAACGGGUGAGUAACACGUGGGUGAUCUGCCCUGCACUUUGGGAUAAGCCUGGGAAACUGGGUCUAAUACGGAAUAGGACAACGCGCUCAAGGGGGGGGGGUGGAAAGCUUUUGCGGUGUGGGAUGGGCCGGCGGCCUAUCAGCUUGUUGGUGGGGUAAUGGCCUACCAAGGCGACGACGGGUAGCCGGCCUGAGAGGGUGACCGGCCACACUGGGACUGAGAUACGGCCCAGACUCCUACGGGAGGCAGCAGUGGGGAAUAUUGCACAAUGGGCGCAAGCCUGAUGCAGCGACGCCGCGUGAGGGAUGACGGCCUUCGGGUUGUAAACCUCUUUCAAUAGGGACGAAGCGCAAGUGACGGUACCUAUAGAAGAAGCACCGGCCAACUACGUG